This is a non-coding RNA of Blastocladiella emersonii ATCC 22665, 73 nucleotides long. The record is from the annotation of a GenBank genome assembly. NCBI's taxonomy places the organism in Eukaryota, Fungi, Blastocladiomycota, Blastocladiomycetes, Blastocladiales, Blastocladiaceae.
GGUUCCUUAGCUCAGUCGGUAGAGCGCGGGACUUUUAAUCCUGAGGUCACGGGUUCGACCCCCGUAGGAAUCG